GAUGAACGCUAGCGGCAGGCUUAACACAUGCAAGUCGAGGGGUAGUCUAGCAAUAGAUGAGACCGGCGCACGGGUGCGUAACGCGUAUGCAAUCUACCUUUUACAGAGGGAUAGCCCAGAGAAAUUUGGAUUAAUACCUCAUAGUAUAACGACUCGGCAUCGAGAUGUUAUUAAAGUUCCAACGGUAAAAGAUGAGCAUGCGUCCCAUUAGCUAGUUGGUGUGGUAACGGCACACCAAGGCAACGAUGGGUAGGGGUCCUGAGAGGGAGAUCCCCCACACUGGUACUGAGACACGGACCAGACUCCUACGGGAGGCAGCAGUGAGGAAUAUUGGUCAAUGGGCGCAAGCCUGAACCAGCCAUGCCGCGUGCAGGAUGACGGUCCUAUGGAUUGUAAACUGCUUUUGUACAGGAAGAAACACUCCCUCGUGAGGGAGCUUGACGGUACUGUAAGAAUAAGGAUCGGCUAACUCCGUGCCAGCAGCCGCGGUAAUACGGAGGAUCCAAGCGUUAUCCGGAAUCAUUGGGUUUAAAGGGUCCGUAGGCGGGUUUAUAAGUCAGUGGUGAAAGCCCAUCGCUCAACGAUGGAACGGCCAUUGAUACUGUAGAUCUUGAAUUAUUAGGAAGUAACUAGAAUAUGUAGUGUAGCGGUGAAAUGCUUAGAGAUUACAUGGAAUACCAAUUGCGAAGGCAGGUUACUACUAAUGGAUUGACGCUGAUGGACGAAAGCGUGGGUAGCGAACAGGAUUAGAUACCCUGGUAGUCCACGCCGUAAACGAUGGAUACUAGCUGUUCGGAGCAAUCUGAGUGGCUAAGCGAAAGUGAUAAGUAUCCCACCUGGGGAGUACGUUCGCAAGAAUGAA
Molecule: ribosomal RNA, 862 nt
Filed under: uncultured bacterium
Lineage: Bacteria
Description: bacterial SSU rRNA
Rfam family: Bacterial small subunit ribosomal RNA
Source: RNAcentral